AAUAGAUACCCUGGUAGUCCACGCCGUAAACGAUGAGUGCUAAGUGUUAGGGGGUUUCCGCCCCUUAGUGCUGCAGCUAACGCAUUAAGCACUCCGCCUGGGGAGUACGGCCGCAAGGCUGAAACUCAAAGGAAUUGACGGGGGCCCGCACAAGCGGUGGAGCAUGUGGUUUAAUUCGAAGCAACGCGAAGAACCUUACCAGGUCUUGACAUCUCCUGACCGCCCUGGAGACAGGGUCUUCCCUUCGGGGACAGGAUGACAGGUGGUGCAUGGUUGUCGUCAGCUCGUGUCGUGAGAUGUUGGGUUAAGUCCCGCAACGAGCGCAACCCUUGUCCUUAGUUGCCAGCAUUCAGUUGGGCACUCUAAGGAGACUGCCGGCUAAAAGUCGGAGGAAGGUGGGGAUGACGUCAAAUCAUCAUGCCCCUUAUGACCUGGGCUACACACGUGCUACAAUGGGCGGUACGAGAGGGUCGCGAACCCGCGAGGGGGAGCCAAUCCCAAAAAACCGCUCUCAGUUCGGAUUGCAGG
RNAcentral lists this ribosomal RNA (528 nucleotides) under uncultured bacterium. Its description in RNAcentral is "bacterial SSU rRNA". It matches the Rfam family "Bacterial small subunit ribosomal RNA", at positions 777 to 1304 of the family's 1533-position model. The record is from RNAcentral.